GAUGUGCUGUCCCUUCACGUGAAAAAGUUGGACAGGACUGACUAGACACUUUGGAGCUGUUCAAAGCAAGAGAGAGGUCAACUGACUGACAGACUAUCAUGUGAAAUAAUCCAUUACCAUCUGCUUUUGCCACCAACCACGCCUUUUGUGCCACAGAAGCAGGCAGUAUUUGCUAGAGGAGGCUGGUGAGACAUACUUUCAGGACAGUGUUGGGUCAUCUGAAGAGAGGAGGACAUCUUUGGGAAGGGUGGGAUUGGACAUUUAAAGUUGUGUGUGUAUGCAUGUGUGUGUGAGUGUGUGUGUGUGGGUGUGUGUGUGUGUGGAGAGCUCCUCUCUACACCACUCCUGCUGUGGUUUAGCUUGUCAGUAGAUGCAACCCCCAUGGCAACAAGUCAGAGAACUGCCAUUGGAUGUGCCAGAUGAGUCAUCUCCUCCUCCCACUGGCUCUACUCUCUUUCUACCUGAAGGGCUUUGCAGUGUUUCUGCUUCGAGUUCAGUUCCAGGUUUAACCCCCCACCACCGGGCAGCAUGUUGCUGCUGCCAGUCCUUCUGGUAACUUCACCUUGGUCCUGUGGAGAUGCACAAACAGUUCCGGCUCAAACCCCGAAGCUGUUGGGAAAGGUGGAGAACAGCUCGGCCAGUAUGUCAUGCAGCAUGAGCAAUGAAGACAUCCUUCACUGGUACCACCAGCCUCCUGGAAAGCCGCCGGAGAGGAUUCUGUAUGUGUCAGGACAAACACCUACAUUUGAUGACACAGCCAGUAGCUGGAAGUUUAAGGUUCAGAAAGAUUCUACUAAGGCUGUCUAUACUCUCCGAAUAGAUUAUUUAACCCUGAGGGAUUCUGGCAUUUAUUAUUGCGCCUAUUGGUUUUAUGGAAGAUCACAACAUUAGAAGGGUAAAGAUAAGCCGUACAAAAAGCCAUACUGCACUCUGAACCGCAAGCUCUGAACUGUGCCAAAAUGCAGUUACUUCCCUAUUCCUCCCUUCUCAAACUGCUGCCUGCAGCGGGAUGGGAAAACUUACCAUUACCGCUUUCAAGUAGGUGACGUUAAUAAUCAGGACAGUACUUGGAUGCUUACAGAGAGCCGCAGUGUCCAGAAACUGGAGAGUCCCUGUGA
Molecule: non-coding RNA, 1118 nt
Organism: Struthio camelus australis
Lineage: Eukaryota; Metazoa; Chordata; Aves; Struthioniformes; Struthionidae
Source: the annotation of a RefSeq genome assembly